Molecule: ribosomal RNA, 35 nt
Filed under: Quercus canariensis
Lineage: Eukaryota; Viridiplantae; Streptophyta; Magnoliopsida; Fagales; Fagaceae
Description: partial 25S ribosomal RNA
Source: RNAcentral
GCGACCCCAGGUCAGGCGGGACUACCCRCUGAGUU